This 29-nucleotide non-coding RNA is filed under the name Mus musculus (house mouse). The record is from RNAcentral. Lineage: Eukaryota; Metazoa; Chordata; Mammalia; Rodentia; Muridae.
UGUUGAAGCCAUUCAUUCUUGAGAUGAUU